CCAAGUAGGUCUAUCUGCAGCCGCAGCCACGCAGCAGAAGACGCCUACAGCAUGACACGCCCACGGCACAACAGGCCCAUUACUCGUGUGACAUGAUGUAUUUGCAAAAAAAAUGUAUUCUCUUAUGUUUCUAGUAAAACUUCAAUCAAAACAAUCAAUUUUUCCUGUCUUUUUUUUUCAGGUUACAAUAUCUAUAAAUGCCACCUUGGCUGUGUGGCGAUCAGCCAUUUUCAUUGUUGCUCAUGCCCAUUAUUGUUGAAAAAAAGGAGAAUAUUUCCUUAACCACCUGAAAAAACCUUCUGCAUGAAGACUGCGACCAUGAUGGCUUCGGCUCUGGCGGUGACCACGAUGUCUUCGGCUCUGACUGGGGCUUUGGCGGCAGCGACCACGACAAUGCCUGCAGCGACCAUGAAGAAAAAUGUGCCGUAUCUGGUACAUUUUACCGAUAUCCGGAGUGGACAGAGGGGCUGCAUAAUUUUAAUGAUCGAGUGAUUUUGACUCAUCAUUUCUGCCUUUUUCUGAGGAACUCUGUACAGGUACCACAAUGUACCAUGAUUCCAUACUUCAUGGGUACCUUUAUUUUGAAGCCAUGUCAUCACAUGAAUACGCUUUCCCUUGUUUAAACUGUGGGGAUCAUCCUCCCGUUGUUGUUAUGGAUUUGCACAAGAAGGGAGUCUCCAGCAUUCCAAGUGAGUGGUUAUUUUUUCACAUUAUUUGUGGGGUAAGUUACUUUGACGACUGUUUGUCUUUCAGUGAGGGACCUUCAAGAGCCACCACCUGAAUUUGAUGGGCGGGUUGACAUUGAAGACUUCUGGCAUUCUGUUAGCCAAGAGAUCCUUUGCUGGGGCUUUGUAGAGAGUAACACUGAAAACCCAUGUGUGGUGUCCCCAUCCUAUGAUAAACGGGCACCGUGGAUAGGUUGUCCGACUAGGAACAGCAACAUUGUGUGUAAUACUGAAUAUAUGAAGGGCAAAGGCAGGAAACAGUCCAAGGUGCUAGAGCAGGGAUAUGUCAAUAUCACAGAGGAGGGAUUGACCGAUGAUGGUCGAUGCAGUACAAAACUUGGUAAAACACUGUGGUCUCGACCCCUCUGGAUCAAAAAUGGAUCUUCUCAUUCGCUGAAAUGCCGCAGUACUAAUGACAAGGUGUUCCAAAAGGUUGUGCCCCCGUGGUAUUGUGAAUGCUGUUAAAUUCAAUAUAAGAGCAGAAAGUCCACGGGAUUAUGCUGACAUGCUACUGUCCUUUAAGCACCUGCCAAAUGUGGUGAUCUAUGACUUUGCCAGAGGUUAGGUGACUCACACCAACUUGCCUGAGCCAGAAAAAAUACCCUUCAGGCCAAAUGAAGGAAGACUGGCUGAAGCCACACCAGAAAAUCUGAAGUCUGCUCAGAAAGGUGAAAUGGAAAUAAAACUGCCCUGGCUGAAGAUGAGAAAGGAGCACGCAGGCACAAAUGCAUACCCGACUACAGGAUCUGCAGACCACUAUGCACUAUAUGGCACUUUUAAUCAGGCAAACACUAAAGAGCCUAAAGAUUGCCUAAGAAAAAUUGGCCUUGUCCCCGAACUCUGUGGCUGGGUGAACUCUCAAACAGCUGAACAGUUUUUCUCAAAAAUGAGAAAAAAACAACUACUUUCUGAACAUGAUGUCUCCAGGGAGACAUCUCUUUGUCAUGCGAUGCAUAAUUCAUGAUUGAAAAGACCCUGACAGACCUCAGAUAAAUCUUAUCAGAGGACAUGGCUCAUGAUCAGACUGAAAAAGGCUGUAGUAGCAACUGCAUGGUUUUCAAGUGGCACUUCAGCUCCAGCACAUUCCAAAGUGCAAUUGGAACCGCACAGCCGCCUGGACCAAUGUUCAGACAAAUGUGAAGCCUUAACAAUCAUGUCAUCACUCAAGCCCUGCAGAGCCUCAUGGACCCUAAAGGGUUAUCACCCCCUUCAGAAGCAGCUGAUCAACUAUGUCCUGGAUACUAAAAGGCCAGGUGAGGAGCUCAUCAUCAAAGAUGGACCGACUUGCCUGUUAAGGUCUAACAUGUUGACACUUGGACUUCAAGGUUACAACUGUCCAUUGUUAUGGUGAAGGUCGGACAUUUUCUCAUUGCCAGCCAUCAUGUACCGCCAACGUGGCUCCCUCCCUCCAACUGUGAUCCUCUACUGCAUUUCCCAGAUGACAUGUCUUUCCUGAGAUGGUGGUGGUGUGUUUUCCUGGUGAAAAACCUUGGACUGGAGGGGUAUGGGAGGAAGUUUUCCCACUUUACAGAAGAAGGCAGAGCAACCCUCCGAGACAAUGUCCCACUUUUCUUCAGGAUCACACGUAAAAGGAGACAUUCAAGCUACACCGUGAUGCCAUUGGACACUGAGGAGGACCAUGCUUACAGCAAGAGGCCUUACAGCUUUCCUUCUAAAGAGCUGGACAGUGAUGUUACCAUGGACAAAGAUGCCAUCAGUCUGACUGACAACAUAUCUCUCAAGACUCUUGUGGAAAGGUCCCAACAAUCUCAGCACCAACAACAAGAGCUUAGUAGCUCUUUAAUAGAAUUCUUCACUGAGAACAAAGGCCUACUGCAUGACUUGAAAAAAUCAUCACAGGAAAAGUGCUAUCUCCUUGGGAGAGGACAAGAUGAUGACCAGUUGGACCAAGUGUUGUGCUUCUUGUCUGAAGUCUUUGAAAGAAAUCAGACAGAGGAUGUUUGCCAAUAUGGUGGCAUUCAUCAUGGAUGUUCUUCUGCCAGAGGCAACAAUCCACACUCUGGCAGCGGUGAAGUUAGUCUGUCUCGACAAAGCGAAGGAACUGUAUGAAUGUGGACCUGAGUAUGACUGGAGUGAGAACCAACUCCUUGCCGAUGACCUCAGUAAAAAUAUGGGUGAAGAGGCAACAGAGAAGCUUAAGGACUUAACAAAAAAACUCAAAAGAGCUUUGGAGUCAGAGGACUUUUUAAACCGCCUUUGAGAACACUGAGUGGAGAGGCACAGAAUCAAAGUAAAAUAACCAGCCCCUACUGAAUAAGGAAAUUAAAGAAAAGAAUAACCUUGGCCUCCACCUCCUGCUCAUACUCAGCCAAAUGCUUCAAAACUCCUUGGACAGUGCUUCACAGUGGAAAUGGACGAUGUUAUGAUGUGUUUUUCUCUGCAAUGAUGAAAUAGCGUAUCAUUUAAACUUCCGUGUCCAUUAAUGGUAAAGAUGUUUUGGAGAGCCGAAGAGCAACAUUGAGAAGGUACUUGGAUGUGUGGAGAGGUCAACAGGUCAAGACUGGAGACGCCAUCAGGCUACAUGCUGCAGUAUUUUCAGUCAUCCAUGGUCAACUGGAAAUAGAUGCAGAAGUUCACUUUAUGACCACAUCGGAAUCAACAAGCCUAUAUAACACAGGUCCAAGCUUGGGGAUAUGUAGUCAUUCACUCUGUGGUGACUCCGGACUCUCGAGUUCGUUAUGUGUUAUCCUAACUCACAUUCUGUGAUGGCUCCAGGCGUUAAGCUCGUCAAUUGUCAUGUUAUUCAUGUUAUUUGUUCAUUUAUCAUUCUCAUUUAUCAUUCUUUGUUACCGUAAUUCUUUGUCAUUGAUCAUUGAUUGUCAGUAAACUAUUCAUCCGAUAGAUCAUGCUGUGGAUCCUGUGCUUAUCACUGAUGCUGAAAGUCAUCCUUGGGGAAUUCAUAAUAACAGACAAUGAACCGAAGCAUACUACAAAAGCAAAUUUUUAAGGCAAAGAAGUGGAAUGUUCUGAAAGCUGUCCAAAGAACAAGCAGGAACUGUAGAAAGCUGCAGUAAAGGCCUAGCAGAGCAUCAACAGGGACUAAACCCAGCAUCUGGUGAUGUGUAUGGGUUCCAGACUUCAGACUUUUAUUGACUGCAAAGGAUUAACAAUUUAAAGUGAUAUUUUAAUUUGUGAUGUGUUACUUUGUGCUGAACACAGUCAAAAUAACGACAAUUUUGUCAUCGUCCAGAUAUACACUGUUGCCCAUAAAGUUGGAAUAAUUUUGUUUUCAGACUCAUUCCUCUUUUCAUUCUUAUCUAUACUCAUCAGUAAUCAACUUUUGACCAGGUGCAAUGAUUAAAUACUGAGUCCCAGUUACCUUGGUGAAGCAAAUUCAUGCUUAACAAUUGUUUGGCGCUAUAAAAGGCAAGACAUCCGCUGUGUUGUACUUUUCCUGCUUAAAGUCUGUAUGCAGUAAGUCCAGGUUUUCAGAAUUAGCUAUCAAAUUUGACACAGAACUUCCCUAGGCUAUGCCUCGUCCGACGCAACUGGCAAUAGGCUACUCCGACAGGACGGACACAAACAAGCCAACAUUGCUGAUUUCCUUGGAAUAAUAACAGUUUACAAAGGUUAAUUGUAGUUUAAUUUUCACUGUGAUAUGUUUAUUGAUCAAUAAAGUUUGAGAAGAUAUACACUAUCUAUCAAGAGUAAAUCACAUUGUCACAAUCAUUUCAUGUGAAGAGGUAAAAAAGAUUUUAUUCCAACUUUAUGGGCGACCUAACUGUGCUCUUCAGAAGUUUGACUUUUAUGUAUCAUAAAUCCGUUUUUUUGGACUGAUUUUAUGAAAUAUGCUAAUAUUUUGAGAUACUGGAUUUUUGAUUUCCUGAACAAUAAGCCAUAAUUAUCAAAAUGAAAACCACAAAA
RNA transcript from Scophthalmus maximus (turbot), 4610 nucleotides. RefSeq lists it as uncharacterized. The record is from RefSeq and is a predicted model, not a curated record. The transcript is spliced from 16 exons. Lineage: Eukaryota; Metazoa; Chordata; Actinopteri; Pleuronectiformes; Scophthalmidae.